This 253-nucleotide ribosomal RNA is filed under the name uncultured bacterium. Its description in RNAcentral is "partial 16S ribosomal RNA". It matches the Rfam family "Bacterial small subunit ribosomal RNA", at positions 524 to 776 of the family's 1533-position model. The record is from RNAcentral.
UACAGAGGUCUCAAGCGUUGUUCGGAAUUACUGGGCGUAAAGGGCGCGUAGGCGGCCUUCUAAGUCAGACGUGAAAUCCCUCGGCUCAACCGAGGAACUGCGUCUGAUACUGGAAGGCUUGAAUCCGGGAGAGGGAUGUGGAAUUCCAGGUGUAGCGGUGAAAUGCGUAGAUAUCUGGAGGAACACCGGUGGCGAAGGCGGCAUCCUGGACCGGUAUUGACGCUGAGGCGCGAAAGCUAGGGGAGCAAACGGG